RNAcentral lists this unclassified non-coding RNA (253 nucleotides) under uncultured Bacillaceae bacterium. RNAcentral's name for it is "contains 16S-23S intergenic spacer region". It matches the Rfam family "Bacterial small subunit ribosomal RNA", at positions 524 to 776 of the family's 1533-position model. The record is from RNAcentral. Lineage: Bacteria; Bacillati; Bacillota; Bacilli; Caryophanales; Bacillaceae.
UACGUAGGUGGCAAGUGUUGUCCGGAAUUAUUGGGCGUAAAGCGCGCGCAGGCGGUCUUUUACGUCUGAUGUGAAAGCCACCGGCUCAAACGGGGAGGGUCAUUGGAAACUGGGAGACUUGAGUACAGAAGAGGAGAGUGGAAUUCCACGUGUAGCGGUGAAAUGCGUAGAUAUGUGGAGGAACCCCAGUGGCGAAGGCGACUCUCUGGUCUGUAACUGACGCUGAAGCGCGAAAGCGUGGGGAGCAAACAGG